AGCCCAGACUUGUUGCAGCCCAAGUAACAGUGAAGGCAUUAUGGGCAUGCUUCCCUGACACCUGCCUAUUCUAAAGACUGCAGAGCAGCAAGCACAGCACAUGCUAUGACAGGCCCAGACUUGUUGCAGCCCAAGUAACAGUGAAGGCAUUAUGGGCAUGCUUCCCUGACACCUGCCUAUUCUAAAGACUGCAGAGCAGCAAGCACAGCACAUGCUAUGACAGG
This is a non-coding RNA of Dermacentor albipictus, 224 nucleotides long. Lineage: Eukaryota; Metazoa; Arthropoda; Arachnida; Ixodida; Ixodidae. The record is from RefSeq and is a predicted model, not a curated record.